GCUGGGUGUGGUGGCGCAUGCCUGUAAUCCCAGUGACUCAGAGGCUGAGGCAAGAGGAUUGCAAGUUGGAGGCCAGCCUCAGCAACUUAGCAAGGCCUUAAGCAACUUAGCAAGACCCUGUCUUAA
Molecule: small RNA, 126 nt
Filed under: Marmota monax (woodchuck)
Lineage: Eukaryota; Metazoa; Chordata; Mammalia; Rodentia; Sciuridae
Source: RNAcentral